AAUUUCUUAACAGUUCAGUUUCUUUUUGCCACUACUUAAGAUCACAACUCGUAAAAAGGAAUACGAGUAAGAUAAAGAUUAUCAAUAUUAAAAAAAAAAAGAUGAAUUUUUUAUUGCUCAUUUCAAUAUUUGCGGCCUGUGCUGUCCACUGCUUGGCAUUAAAAAACGUUGAAUGUGGCUUACCACCUUUUAAGAAUGGCGAUGGAAUAGUUGCUUGUAUGGCACGUAUGCCUAGUUGGAGUUAUAAUUUAAAGACAAACGAAUGUGUCAGGUUUAUAUAUGGAGGAUGUGGCGGCAAUAAAAAUCGUUUUGAAAGCAAACAGGAAUGUUUGGCCAGAUGCAAGGAAUGAAGCAAUAAAUGCAAGGACUA
This is a long non-coding RNA of Drosophila albomicans, 370 nucleotides long. RefSeq lists it as uncharacterized. The transcript is spliced from 3 exons. The record is from RefSeq and is a predicted model, not a curated record. Lineage: Eukaryota; Metazoa; Arthropoda; Insecta; Diptera; Drosophilidae.